This 28-nucleotide small RNA is filed under the name Bombyx mori (domestic silkworm). Its description in RNAcentral is "ovarian small RNA-33889". The record is from RNAcentral. Lineage: Eukaryota; Metazoa; Arthropoda; Insecta; Lepidoptera; Bombycidae.
UGCCUUCAGUUGCGAUCCGCUGUACUGU